AUGGAGCGCGGCGGGGCGGCGCCGGCGGCAGGCCGGGAGCCGAGCCUGGGGGCGAGCAGUGAGGGAUGGGGAGUGGGUGGCCUCUCUGCUGUGGAGUGGAGCACCUUCAAACGGCGGGGAAAAGACAUCCUACGCCGGGAGAGAGAUCCGGAAGGCUGUCUGCGGCGCUUGCGGAUCAAAGCAGAUGGCUUCUUCAAAUUGAAUCCAUCUGGUACUGAUUCAAAGGGAGCAGGGGCGCAGAUCGAGGCCCCUGAUUUCGCCAGGAAGAAUCACAUCACGGUGAGUUAUGUAGAGUUUAAAGGAGCAGUUUCUGGUAGGUUAAUUUGCAAUUCUUCUAUGGAUGGGGAUGGGGAUUCUAGUGGGGUAAAUCCCAACGGUUAUGGCGUUGAUUCUAGGGCGAAAUUUGAGGAAGAUGAGAUGUAUUUGAGGGGAGGUUCUCAAGGAUCGCAGGACAAAGUGUGUUCUUCCUCUGUUCUUUCUACGCCUUUGCUCUGUUCUUUGCGUGUGACACAGGAACUGAUGGCAAAUCGAAGUGUAGCUGAGAUGGACUUGGACGGGGGUGUCAAGGCAUCGGGCACCAGUGAGGGUGCGCUUGCUGUGUUCCCGGCGGUCGUCCAGGCCGGCGUGAAGGUCGCCAAGGGCGUGGCUCCAUCACCCCCGGCGACGAGUGGUGGGGCGAUCGGGGAGAUGCAGAUAUCCCCGGUUCAGGACAUGGUAAAGGCCAAGGUGGGAGGUCCAGCGGGGCCGGCGCUCACCGUGACCCCAAAGGCUUCAUUCAGUUUCGCUGCUGCCGCGGCGCCUCCCCAACUAUGCAGGAAGGGGAAGAACAAGGCGACCUCGAGCUCGAGUACGCACCCCAACCCGAUCGUCAUCAACCUGGAGGCGGCAAUGCGGGCGGUCGCGGGGAAUCUAGUGGUGGGCCGGGUGCUCUCGCCGUACCCGGUCGAUCCCGCGCUGGUCGUCAACGAGCUCAGAGGACCAUGGCGGCUCCGAGGCGAUGCCAUGGCGCAGCGCGUCACCAGCGAAGACCGUUGCUUCAUCAUCACCUUUAAGGAGGAGGGUGAUCGGCGUCAUGUGCUGCAAGCUGGACCAUGGCAUUUCAGAGACGAUGCCGUGGUUCUAGCGGCUUUCGAAGGGAAGGGCAACCCAGCAGACGUACCCCUCGACUCCAUCAACAUAUGGGCUCAAAUCUGGGGGCUACCGGUGCCGAUCAAAACAGUGGAGAUGGGCUACCUGCUGGGUGGCAAACUCGGCAAGGUCGUGACGGUGUCGCAAGUGAAUAAGAUGAUCGUCGACGAGCACUUGCGUGUUCGGGUUGUGCACCGCCUCGACGAGCCUCUGAGGAAGUUCAUCGACACCAUUGUGACGAUACCGGAUGGCAAGACAAUUGAGUCCAUCUACUACGUCAAGUAUGAAAAACUUCCUAACUUCUGUUUCUGUUGUGGCAUUCUGGGGCACACAACGGCUACUUUCUGCAACAUCCCAAAAGAGCUCCGACAGCCUUCGUACACCACUGACAUCAAGGCGCCGGCGUUCUGGAAGAACUCGCAGACGGCGGCCGGGUCGGGCCACCGCCAGCGUGGGGGCUUGGUAAAGCUUCCCGAAAUGGUCGUCACCGCCGUCUCUUCAGCGGUCCAGAAGCUGUCGGUGGCGGCUUCCCCGUCGUUGUCCGCCAUGACUAGGGCGGAACAGCCCGUCCACGGCUGCCGGGUGGGCGGCCAUGGACUGGGGUCAGGGGCCGCCCAGGAGGGGGGCCUUCUCUGA
RNAcentral lists this ribosomal RNA (1764 nucleotides) under Triticum aestivum (bread wheat). Its description in RNAcentral is "partial small subunit ribosomal RNA". The record is from RNAcentral. Lineage: Eukaryota; Viridiplantae; Streptophyta; Magnoliopsida; Poales; Poaceae.